RNAcentral lists this unclassified non-coding RNA (253 nucleotides) under Hevea brasiliensis (rubber tree). Lineage: Eukaryota; Viridiplantae; Streptophyta; Magnoliopsida; Malpighiales; Euphorbiaceae. The record is from RNAcentral.
UUGAAUCUCUGAAUAGAAGAACCUAGUUCAAUUUCAAAGCACAUGCACAUGCAGGCACUUAGAGAGGGAGGCAAUAAUAGCUUCAUCUAUAAUCUUGAAAGGCCAUAUCAGCUAAAUUCCAACAGUGAAACACAAUCAAACAAUGGCAUCAGGCUGCCAGUAAAAUAAGCAUGAGAGAGACAAAUGCUAAUUCAAAUAGAGGGGAUAUAUAUACAAGUCAUGAAGAAUAAAAACAAGCAAAACAAAGUAUGCG